RNAcentral lists this ribosomal RNA (1212 nucleotides) under Pontoscolex corethrurus. RNAcentral describes it as "large subunit ribosomal RNA". The stretch from base 776 to 1110 matches the Rfam family "Bacterial large subunit ribosomal RNA", at positions 2073 to 2647 of the family's 2925-position model. Lineage: Eukaryota; Metazoa; Annelida; Clitellata; Crassiclitellata; Glossoscolecidae. The record is from RNAcentral.
CCAGUCUGCAACCCUAAUAAAAACAAUUAAAUGCUCACAAAAUUUCCCAAGUACAGAAAUGGAACUAUCACAGACCAAAGUAAUUCUUAAAAACUGUACCUUGUGCAUAAUGAUUUUACAAGAAAUAUAUUCAAAAUAUUGCUCCCGAACUCUCAAAGAGUUGCCCCCACAUUGAACCGACCCCACACACCAGCUGUGGCAUAAGCUCUGAAAAAUGAGGGGGCAGAAGCUACAUACCAACCGCGUGAGAAAAUUGCUGGUUUCUGACUAAACUUAUAUAUUAACCCAUAGAAAUAUUUCUAAUGCUACGUCAUAGAGGAUAAGCCCUAAGACGCCUCACUAUUUAACGACACUUAAACACACUAUAGGCCUAAAACCAGCCACUAAUAACACGUUACAAUGAACUAUAACUCAAUAAAAAUCACCUAUAAUGUAAAACCUAGUCAGAAAUUUAUAUUUAGUCCCCACAUUAAAAUUUUUAUGUAAAAAUAAGUACUUAUAUAUAACCGCACAAACAUACGCACCAAACACCAACAAAGGAACUCGGCAACCCCCGUUUCGACUGUUUAUCAAAAACAUUACCUUAAGACAAAUAAUUUAAGGCAAGCCCUGCCCAGUGAGUAUACUCUUCAACGGCCGCGGUAUCCUAACCGUGCAAAGGUAGCAUAAUAACUUGCCUAUUAAUUAUAGGAUAGUAUGAAAGGGUAAACGAAAUAGGACCUGUCUCUCUCGGUCCAAUGAAAAUUAUUUUUUAACCGAAGAAAGUUAAAUCCAACUGAAGGACAAGAAGACCCUAUAGAGCUUCAUUUAAAUACUUACAAAAAAAACUUUAAAUUCAGUUGGGGCGACUAAUGCUCUACCAAUCAUCAAUGCCCAUAAGAUAAAUCUAUCUUAAAAAAGACCCUGACCCAGAUCAAGAAAACAAGCUACCUUAGGGAUAACAGGCUAAUCUCAUUUAUGAGUCCCUAUCUAUAAUGUUGGUUGGCACCUCGAUGUUGGCUUAGGGAAUCAAAGGGGCGCAGAAGCUUCUUAAGAUGGUUUGUUCAACCAUUAAACCCCUACAUGAGCUGAGUUCAGACCGGCGUAAGCCAGGUUAGUUUCUAUCCUCAGCAACCUAAUAUUUAGCUACAGUACGAAAGGACCCAGCUAAGAAAAUUUUUUUAUGUGAGAACAAAUAUAACCAAAAAUAAAUAUACUAAACUACACCCUAUA